GAUGUUAUAACCUUGUUUACCCGUAUUCGAAAACGGUACUGCCAUAUAGGCGGGGUACGAGACGCGAGGACGCGAGGUCGGCUACUCGGCUCGCUUACUUUAAUAGUUUUCUGUCAUGGCGUCAUAGAACAUUUUGUUGUUAUAAACCUUAACGGCUUAUUGCUCAACGUGUUUUCUUAACUCGCUUAGUUAAUCGACGCUAGUGAAUCACGGUUCAAUAUUAUCACGUACCUACUCUAUAAAUUGUUAUUCGUGUACUCACAUUGUUAAUUGUUUUAAUAGUGCGUACUGAUGUCGGUAAUUUGGAAUUCAAUGCAUCUAAUUUUAAUAUAAUCGUUUGAUUGACAUUUACUUUUGUUUACAAUAUUCAAUAUGACGUGGUCGGUUAUUCACUUCUCUAAAGAUAAUGGAGUAGAGGUAGUACCUAGCACAUGGUUUAAAGAUGAUACAUGUGAUUGGCCUAAGAAAAACACCACCGGGGCCAUAGGGUUGAAGGGCAAUGGGUUUUUUACAUUAGACAAUAUAGAAGAAAAGAUAAGAAAUACCAUGCAUCAUUGACUAAACAGUUAGCUGGACUUGGCGGAAUAAGUAUCAAAGUCAUGGUCAAAAGAAUCAUGGGAUAUUUGUUCACUGACAACAUCUUAGCCUUAUAUUCUUUUAAUGGCAGAGCAAAUAAAAAAAAUGUUUUGCAAAUCUAUCCAUUUCAAAAGUUAUAUUCAGUGCUGUUAUAUCAAUUAAACGAUUGAAUAAUGAAUCAUCGACCGAUGAAAUUGAAAAAUACAUUAAGUAUUAUCUCAUUCAAGCACCAUUCUACAUAAAAGAAGAAAAAAGAAAUGUUUCAUUGAAUAUGAAUAUCAUUUAAUUUUGUAAUUAUUAUGUACAAUAUAAUAUAGCUAGGCUAGGUUUGCCUUUUAGUUAUAUCAUGUUUCAACUAUAUAUAUACUAUUAUAUUAUAUUCUAAAUAAAUGUAUAGGUACAUUAUGUUUUUACUAUUAUUAUAUUGUUAUAGGGCCUAACAAUAUAUGUUGAAUAUGUAAUACAUUAAUUAUUUUGAAUAUUUUUGAAAUAAUAAAGAUAA
Molecule: long non-coding RNA, 1078 nt
Organism: Metopolophium dirhodum (rose-grain aphid)
Lineage: Eukaryota; Metazoa; Arthropoda; Insecta; Hemiptera; Aphididae
Exons: 3
Source: RefSeq, a predicted model, not a curated record